Molecule: ribosomal RNA, 1352 nt
Filed under: uncultured bacterium
Lineage: Bacteria
Description: bacterial SSU rRNA
Rfam family: Bacterial small subunit ribosomal RNA
Source: RNAcentral
AUUGAACGCUGGCGGCAUGCCUUACACAUGCAAGUCGAACGGCAGCACGGAGCUUGCUCUGGUGGCGAGUGGCGAACGGGUGAGUAAUAUAUCGGAACGUACCCUAGAGUGGGGGAUAACGUAGCGAAAGUUACGCUAAUACCGCAUACGAUCUAAGGAUGAAAGUGGGGGAUCGCAAGACCUCAUGCUCGUGGAGCGGCCGAUAUCUGAUUAGCUAGUUGGUAGGGUAAAAGCCUACCAAGGCAUCGAUCAGUAGCUGGUCUGAGAGGACGACCAGCCACACUGGAACUGAGACACGGUCCAGACUCCUACGGGAGGCAGCAGUGGGGAAUUUUGGACAAUGGGCGAAAGCCUGAUCCAGCAAUGCCGCGUGAGUGAAGAAGGCCUUCGGGUUGUAAAGCUCUUUUGUCAGGGAAGAAACGGUGAGAGCUAAUAUCUCUUGCUAAUGACGGUACCUGAAGAAUAAGCACCGGCUAACUACGUGCCAGCAGCCGCGGUAAUACGUAGGGUGCAAGCGUUAAUCGGAAUUACUGGGCGUAAAGCGUGCGCAGGCGGUUUUGUAAGUCUGAUGUGAAAUCCCCGGGCUCAACCUGGGAAUUGCAUUGGAGACUGCAAGGCUAGAAUCUGGCAGAGGGGGGUAGAAUUCCACGUGUAGCAGUGAAAUGCGUAGAUAUGUGGAGGAACACCGAUGGCGAAGGCAGCCCCCUGGGUCAAGAUUGACGCUCAUGCACGAAAGCGUGGGGAGCAAACAGGAUUAGAUACCCUGGUAGUCCACGCCCUAAACGAUGUCUACUAGUUGUCGGGUCUUAAUUGACUUGGUAACGCAGCUAACGCGUGAAGUAGACCGCCUGGGGAGUACGGUCGCAAGAUUAAAACUCAAAGGAAUUGACGGGGACCCGCACAAGCGGUGGAUGAUGUGGAUUAAUUCGAUGCAACGCGAAAAACCUUACCUACCCUUGACAUGGCUGGAAUCCUUGAGAGAUCAGGGAGUGCUCGAAAGAGAACCAGUACACAGGUGCUGCAUGGCUGUCGUCAGCUCGUGUCGUGAGAUGUUGGGUUAAGUCCCGCAACGAGCGCAACCCUUGUCAUUAGUUGCUACGAAAGGGCACUCUAAUGAGACUGCCGGUGACAAACCGGAGGAAGGUGGGGAUGACGUCAAGUCCUCAUGGCCCUUAUGGGUAGGGCCUCACACGUCAUACAAUGGUACAUACAGAGCGCCGCCAACCCGCGAGGGGGAGCUAAUCGCAGAAAGUGUAUCGUAGUCCGGAUUGUAGUCUGCAACUCGACUGCAUGAAGUUGGAAUCGCCGGUAAUCGCGGAUCAGCAUGUCGCGGUGAAUACGUUCCCGGGUCU